RNAcentral lists this ribosomal RNA (484 nucleotides) under uncultured bacterium. RNAcentral's name for it is "partial 16S ribosomal RNA". It matches the Rfam family "Bacterial small subunit ribosomal RNA", at positions 29 to 507 of the family's 1533-position model. The record is from RNAcentral.
AUUGAACGCUGGCGGCAUGCUUUACACAUGCAAGUCGAACGGCAGCGCGGGCUUCGGCCUGGCGGCGAGUGGCGAACGGGUGAGUAAUGCAUCGGAACGUGCCCAGUAGUGGGGGAUAGCUCGGCGAAAGCCGGAUUAAUACCGCAUACGACCUGAGGGGGAAAGCGGGGGACCGAAAGGCCUCGCGCUAUUGGAGCGGCCGAUGUCGGAUUAGCUAGUUGGUGGGGUAAAGGCUUACCAAGGCGACGAUCCGUAGCUGGUCUGAGAGGACGACCAGCCACACUGGGACUGAGACACGGCCCAGACUCCUACGGGAGGCAGCAGUGGGGAAUUUUGGACAAAGGGGGCAACCCUGAUCCAGCCAUGCCGCGUGCGGGAAGAAGGCCUUCGGGUUGUAAACCGCUUUUGUUCGGGAAGAAAUCCUCUGGGCUAAUACCCCGGGGGGAUGACGGUACCGGAAGAAUAAGCACCGGCUAACUACGUG